Long non-coding RNA from Meriones unguiculatus (Mongolian gerbil), 2111 nucleotides. RefSeq lists it as uncharacterized. The record is from RefSeq and is a predicted model, not a curated record. The transcript is spliced from 4 exons. Lineage: Eukaryota; Metazoa; Chordata; Mammalia; Rodentia; Muridae.
UAAGCGGCCUGCCACCUGAAUCGGCAGUCUACGCGGUGUUGGACCUCAAACUCUCUUCAGUUUGCCAUUGGCCGCAGCCAGUCAAUCCGUUGGCUUUGAAUGGCUUGAUCCAGAGCUGGGCUGCAACUGUCAGCUCACUUGAACCAUGCUGCAACAGGGACUCGGGAACUCUCCUACCAUCUAUGAUGAGGUGCCGCACGGGGACCUGGAGGAUAUUUUGAAGCAACCUCCUGACAGCUGGCGGUCCAGUGCUGAGUUGGCUCAUUAUCCUCAUUAUGAGUCCCUGCUUUUGAACCCGACUCGCAUCAACACUCAACCCCACCGCCCUGCUGUAAGACCUCGACACAGCCAUCAAGCAUGAGUGCCCCGUUGUUCUGCAGCACAUCCAGAAUCUCCACCUGACUGAUAGCCUUGGCCCGAUGUGGAUCAGACACUCUUCACAGAUGGAAGCAGCUUCAUCCAGAACAGCACCAGAGAUUAAUGAAGUGAAAGCAACGAUCAAAACAUUGAGUUUCUAUAUGCCAAGGGCUACAAUAAAAAACUGAGGUGGGCAAGUUGAAGAUAGAACGUCGUUCAAGCUUUUCAUCGCUACUACUGCUAUUACCACCGCUACACUGCUACUACUCUCUCUCACACACACACGCAUACACACACACAAUCAGUGAAAACGGUAUGUAAGUAAGCACUGAAUGAAAAGUACUUGUGAGGGUUUUAUUUUGGUUUUGUUUUCACAAAGCUGUUUACGUGAAGAGAGGAGACAUUAUAUUAGGGCAAUGCACAGAAACAGCUACAACAAACCUGACGUCUACCAUAAAAGAAGCUACAAUGAAUGACUUUAAAUAUGCUCUCCAGGACAUCUGUGUAUCACGCUAACAUCUUUCUUCAUAGUUCUGAUGCUUGGAAAAAGGCAAAGGAGUGACGAGAAAUUCAAAUCCAGGUUUUAUAUCUGUGUCCUUGGGCAUUACCGUACUUGGGACUCAAAACAUGAGGACAUUGACAACAUGUAAAAUCUUUCCAACAAUAGUCCAAUAAUUUUAGACCAAGAUGACAAAAGUUCAUCUGAAAAGAAUGUCAAGACAGCCACAAGGCCUGCAGGCUUUUCUAGGUUUUCCCAAGCAUGGAGCUCAACUAAAGGUUGAGCAACAUUGGUAUGUAAGAAUAUCCAAUAUUAACUGGUCAACAUGAAGGUUCCAACAUCAUGGUUAUUAAGUACAGGCCAUUGUCAUUCACAGUCAUACCCCCAGAGACUUUGGCAUGAUCCAAACAUGAAAAUAGUUUCAGUUGAUACAGCCAGAUAUGGCGGGGGACAGUAGACUUGAAAAGGAAGGGGAUGUAACUGACAUGGUAAAUAGAGGGAUACUUCUAAACAGUGAUGCCUAGGACACAGACAUACAACAAAGAAAUGAGUCCCCGGAUGUAUUAGUACUAAAGUUCAGCUAUUUGAAUACAAUGAAUGAGAAGUGAAGAAACAGGUGGGGUGAUUUAGCAGGCUAGGGCCAUGUAGGGGUGAAGGCCUCCUGUGACACUCUCCAGCUCCUCCAGAACCAUAAAUCUAGAUAUUGUAUGAAUGCUUCUAUCAUUUAAAUCUUGGUGAUAUGUUGGAAUUUGGUCUGAUGCAUGUUACCCAGUCCUCAAGAUCUGGUUCUGAUUAUCCUUGUUUUGUAAACCUGCUUAAGACAUACCUUACUGGUUGGUUAAACAUCCUAUACCUGGACAGGGCAGAAUGGGGUAGAUGUGGCUAAGGUUCCAGGGCUUUUGGGUUCAAGAGAUAAUCACGGGAAUGAGACAGACAGGAAAAGAGGAGGAAGGAAGAUGGGUUAGCUUGGAGAAGAAACCACAUGGGAUGGGAGAAAGGACUCCAAUAAUGAUGUGGAAAGGACUAGAUGAAGAAUACAAGCAAAUAUUUAUAAGAUUAUGAAUAGAAGAUAGUUCAGAGGAGGAUGACUAAGGCAGAUAGCAUUGGAUAGGGGUUGAAAGAUGAAUGUUAAGGUAAAAAUAUCCUUCUGGCCCAAACUAAACAAGGCAAUUAAAACUCUAACAUGUGUCUGUGUCUUAUCAUUUGUGAUAGUGGGUUAAAUAAUUCCAGUGUGAUAAUCUUAAAGCUAAUAUUA